Molecule: ribosomal RNA, 321 nt
Filed under: Sandonidae sp.
Lineage: Eukaryota; Cercozoa; Glissomonadida; Sandonidae
Description: SSU rRNA
Rfam family: Eukaryotic small subunit ribosomal RNA (bases 113-321)
Source: RNAcentral
GAUUUCUGGCUUGAAACAUUUGGCCGGCCACGGUUUCGUGUGUUAGUGCUUGAUGUUCUGGCCAUCCUUCCAAUUGCUGUGUACCUUUCUUCAUUGAUUGGUGCAUGGUAUUGGAUCUUUUACUUUGAAAAAAUUAGAGUGUUUCAAGCAGGCUUUUGCUAUGAAUACAUUAGCAUGGAAUAAUAAUUUAGGACUUCGGUUCUAUUUUGUUGGUUUCUAGAAUGGAAGUAAUGAUUGAUAGGGAUAGUUGGGGGUGCUAGUAUUCAGUGGCCAGAGGUGAAAUUCUCGGAUUCACUGAAGACUAACUUAUGCGAAAGCAUU